Long non-coding RNA from Peromyscus leucopus (white-footed mouse), 277 nucleotides. RefSeq lists it as uncharacterized. NCBI's taxonomy places the organism in Eukaryota, Metazoa, Chordata, Mammalia, Rodentia, Cricetidae. The transcript has 3 exons. The record is from RefSeq and is a predicted model, not a curated record.
AAGGACCAGUACUCAUCCAUCAGCUGUGCCUACAAAAUGGCUGGGAACAUCCUGAGCCUUCUAGAGUUUUGCUUCAUAUUUCCUGUCAGUAGACUACCAGGAACAAGCAUGACAACCAACUCUUCAGGUCAAAAGAUUAUGUAAAUCUUCAGAGAGUAAAGACACUUCUCUCCCUGAUUCUUCCAGCUCUGCGGAAAGCUACAAAAAUAUCUAAAGUUUCAACCAGGGAACACAUGGCAGAUAUAAUCAUUAAAUCUAACAUCUUUAAAGUAUCGAA